This is a long non-coding RNA of Zophobas morio, 315 nucleotides long. RefSeq lists it as uncharacterized. The transcript has 4 exons. NCBI's taxonomy places the organism in Eukaryota, Metazoa, Arthropoda, Insecta, Coleoptera, Tenebrionidae. The record is from RefSeq and is a predicted model, not a curated record.
ACUUUGGCUUGCCUUAUGAGUACUGUAAAGUUACUAAGGCGGUGUAUUCAUGCUUCAUAUGUAAAUCUUUUAAAACCUUCAAAAGAAAUUGCUCCAAUUAUUUAUAAAGAAGUGGAUCCUACUGUAUGCGCAGGUGCAAAUAUAUAUAUAACAGGAGAAGAUCCUAAGUUAAAGCCAAACGAUGAAUAUCCUGAGUGGCUUUGGUCUAUAUUGGAACCUAUAACGUAUACUACCAAUGACAGGAAAUAUUGGAAGUUACUAAGAAAAAAGGAAAUAAUCCGCAAAAAUUCAUUACUCAAAAAGAAAUAAAUAUUG